AGCAGUCGCGGUAAUUCCAGCUCCAAUAGCGUAUAUUAAAGUUGUUGCAGUUAAAAAGCUCGUAGUUGAAUUUCGGGAUCAGAUUGUCGGUCGUGCCUCGGUACGCACUGGCAUUAUUGGUUCCUACCUUCUGAAGAACCGCGAUGUCAUUAAUUUGGUGUCGUGGGGAAUCAGGACUGUUACUUUGAAAAAUUAGAGUGUUUAAAGCAGGCGCACGCUUGAAUACAUUAGUAUGGAAUAAUGAAAUAGGACGUUUGAUUCUAUUUUGUUGGUUUCUAGGAUCGACGUAAUGAUUAAUAGGGAUAG
Molecule: ribosomal RNA, 306 nt
Filed under: uncultured Glomeromycotina
Lineage: Eukaryota; Fungi; Glomeromycota
Description: SSU rRNA
Rfam family: Eukaryotic small subunit ribosomal RNA
Source: RNAcentral